RNAcentral lists this ribosomal RNA (452 nucleotides) under uncultured bacterium. RNAcentral describes it as "bacterial SSU rRNA". It matches the Rfam family "Bacterial small subunit ribosomal RNA", at positions 29 to 481 of the family's 1533-position model. The record is from RNAcentral.
AUUGAACGCUGGCGGCAUGCCUUACACAUGCAAGUCGAACGGUAACGCGGGGCAACCUGGCGACGAGUGGCGAACGGGUGAGUAAUGUAUCGGAACGUGCCCAGUUGUGGGGAUAACUACUCGAAAGAGUAGCUAAUACCGCAUACGACCUGAGGGUGAAAGCGGGGAUCGCAAGACCUCGCGCAAUUGGAGCGGCCGAUAUCAGAUUAGCUAGCUGGCGGGGGUAAAAGCCCACCAAGGCGACGAUCUGUAGCUGGUCUGAGAGGACGACCAGCCACACUGGGACUGAGACACGGCCCAGACUCCUACGGGAGGCAGCAGUGGGGGAAUUUUGGACAAUGGACGCAAGUCUGAUCCAGCCAUGCCGCGUGCGGGAAGAAGGCCUGGUGUAACGCUUGUCAGGGAAGGAAACGGCUCGGGUUAAGUACCUUGGGUCGUAAUGACGGUACCGU